Non-coding RNA from Halocaridina rubra (Hawaiian volcano shrimp), 72 nucleotides. The record is from the annotation of a GenBank genome assembly. Lineage: Eukaryota; Metazoa; Arthropoda; Malacostraca; Decapoda; Atyidae.
CCUUCUAUGGUGUACCUGGUAGCGCCUUGAAUUAGUAAUUGUAAGUCCUAGGUUCGAGUCCUGGUAGGAGUA